RNAcentral lists this ribosomal RNA (440 nucleotides) under uncultured bacterium. Its description in RNAcentral is "partial 16S ribosomal RNA". It matches the Rfam family "Bacterial small subunit ribosomal RNA", at positions 338 to 795 of the family's 1533-position model. The record is from RNAcentral.
CCUACGGGGGACAGCAGUGGGGAAUAUUGCACAAUGGGGGAAACCCUGAUGCAGCGACGCCGCGUGAGUGAAGAAGUAUUUCGGUACGUAAAGCUCUAUCAGCAGGGAAGAAAAUGACGGUACCUGACUAAGAAGCCCCGGCUAACUACGUGCCAGCAGCCGCGGUAAUACGUAGGGGGCAAGCGUUAUCCGGAUUUACUGGGUGUAAAGGGAGCGUAGACGGCAGGGCAAGUCUGGAGUGAAAUCCCAUGGCUUAACCAUGGAACUGCUUUGGAAACUGUGCAGCUAGAGUGCAGGAGAGGUAAGCGGAAUUCCUAGUGUAGCGGUGAAAUGCGUAGAUAUUAGGAGGAACACCAGUGGCGAAGGCGGCUUACUGGACUGUAACUGACGUUGAGGCUCGAAAGCGUGGGGAGCAAACAGGAUUAGAUACCCGAGUAGUC